UCAAGCUCCUCAAAUUCACUACAAUAUAAUAAGAUUUGAGCACCAGGCUAAAAAAGGUUGAGAUCUCAAUUGGCAAAAUGAAAGAUCAUGGGUUGGAAUUUCGUCAACUACAGUCAUUCCAUGUUAAUAUUUGUAAACGCCUGAUGAACAAAAAGUGAAUCUAUAACCAUUCAAGUAGCCCUAGACUUGAGAAUUCCAGUAAACAGUAUUAAAAGAUACAUUACAACGUACUUCUACAAACCACAAAUAAAAAUAAACCAGAAGAGUAAUUUCUAUGUCAGAAUCUUCUUAUAUUAUAUAUGCUUGAUAUAUGAAGCUGGAAAAAAAAAUCACAGUUCCCUAUCUCACAAUCAUAUAAUGUUUCUCAACUAUCAUAAACUUACCUUCACAUUCCAUAUUAUUUUAUUUGCCAUAGAUUAUCCUUGGAUUCAUAUUGUAAGGGCAGAAAAAAGUUUGUGUGCAAGAGAAAAUGGGUGCAUGCAUCAGCAUGUGUGGUUCACAUAUCAUGAGAAUCAACCUUCACGGGGUAUCUAAUCUUACUUUGAAUAUAUUCUAAAAUAAUUAUUACCUUUUGCUUGAAGACACCUUUG
RNAcentral lists this unclassified non-coding RNA (590 nucleotides) under Hevea brasiliensis (rubber tree). The record is from RNAcentral. Lineage: Eukaryota; Viridiplantae; Streptophyta; Magnoliopsida; Malpighiales; Euphorbiaceae.